GACGAACGCUGGCGGCGUGCCUAAUACAUGCAAGUAGAACGCAGUUGCGAACGGGUGAGUAACGCGUAGGUAACUGCCGCAUAGCGGGGGGUAACUAUUUGAAACGAUAGCUAAUUACGCAUCCUGUGAGAUGGACCUGCGUGGUAUUAGCUAGUUGGUGAGGUAAAGGCUCACCAAGGCGACGAUCCAUAGCCGACCUGAGAGGGUUAUCGGACCACGUGGCACUGAGACCACGCCCAGACGCCCACGGGAGGGACCAGUAGGGAAACUUCGUCAAUGGACGGAAGUCUUACCGAGCAACUCCGCGGGAUGUAAGAAGGUUUUCGGAUUGUAAAGCUCGGUUGUUAGAGAAGCGGUAACUAACCAGAAAGGGACGGCUAACUACGUGCCAGCAGCCGCGGUAAUUC
RNAcentral lists this ribosomal RNA (407 nucleotides) under uncultured bacterium. RNAcentral describes it as "partial 16S ribosomal RNA". It matches the Rfam family "Bacterial small subunit ribosomal RNA", at positions 28 to 526 of the family's 1533-position model. The record is from RNAcentral.